UUGGAAUUGUUGUGGUAUAGUGAUAUUGUACCAAUCUCACUAUGUCUAAUUCACAUUUCAGUACUACAUUUGGGCUAUUACUUGUCUUGAAAACUCUGAAUCUGUUAUGGUGUCUGCACAUACAUCUGCUGGGAAAACUGUUGUGGCGUUAUAUGCAAUUGCUAUGUCGCUUCGAAAUGGACAAUGUGUUAUCUACACUUCACCUAUUAAGGCACUUAGUAAUCAAAAGUAUAGAGAAUUUAAAGAAGAGUUUUCUGAUGUUGGUUUGAUGACUGGUGACGUUACCAUUGAUCCCAAUGCUUCUUGCUUGGUCAUGACUACAGAAAUUUGGCGUAGUAUGCAAUACAAAGGGUCUGAGGUCACCAGGGAGGUGGCUUGGAUAAUUUUUGAUGAGGUGCAUUAUAUGCGUGAUCGCGAAAGGGGUGUGGUUUGGGAAGAGAGCAUUGUUAUGUCGCCAAAGAAUGCCCGUUUUGUCUUCCUCUCUGCCACUGUCCCCAAUGCCAAGGAAUUUGCUGAUUGGGUGGCAAAGGUGCACCAACAGCCUUGUCAUAUUGUUUAUACGGAUUACCGGCCAACUCCCCUUCAACAUUAUAUUUUUCCUUCCGGAAGUGAGGGUAUGUACUUGGUUGUAGAUGAAAAGGGAAAAUUUCGCGAAGACAGCUUUCAGAAAGCUUUGAAUGCUCUUGUUCCUGCUGCUGAUGGUGAUAGGAAAAAUGAAAAUGCCAAGUGGCAAAAAGGUUUGGUGCUGGGCAAGGCUGCUGAAGAAAGUGACAUAUUCAAGAUGGUGAAAAUGAUCAUCCAACGUCAAUACGAUCCCGUGAUACUGUUCAGCUUUAGCAAGAGGGAGUGUGAGUUUCUUGCAAUGCAGAUGGCAAAAAUGGAUCUUAAUGGGGAUAUAGAGAAGGACAACAUAGAAAAAAUAUUUUGGUGUGCUAUGGAUAUGCUUUCAGAUGAUGAUAAGAAGUUGCCUCAGUUUUACAAGUUUUGCAAGAGUUCAUUGAAUCUGCAACGGUUGAUCAUGGUCUGUGUUUGUGGCACAUAUUAUUAGGAGCUUGCAAGAACCAUCGUAACUAUGUACUCGGAAUUUAUGCUGGAGAGAAACCGAUGGAGCUAGUGUCACUAGAAUCAUCUGUUGAUGUAUUGUUAUCAAGUAUAUAUACAGCCUUAGGGGAGUUGCAAUAUCAUAUUCCGGUUGGAAUUGAUUAGAUUGAAAAAUCUAAGGUGGUAGAUUUUCUAUCAACCUUCAGCCUUGGACUAUCACAGUCGGAUGACUCAAAAGCUUCAUCAUCGCGUAGUUUUAGACAACUGAGGGGGGAAAUGGAAGAGGCAAAAGGAAAUGAAAAGAAAAGAAGCAACAUAACAAAACUGAGGGGGAAGGAAGUUUGGAUGAUGAUGAAAAUGUAAAGGAUAAAAAGCUGAAGAAAGGUACUGAACCUGAGCAGAGAUUGAGACACAAAAUGAAUAUUCCUAAGGAGGAGUGUCAUUUUUAUUUAAAUUAAAUUGUACAGAAUGAGUGCCAUUUUUCUUUAAAUUAAAUUGUAUACCAUAACAAAAGCAUGGAUGUUAGAGAAAGGGAAAUUAAAGUAUGAAGAAAAUUUAUUUUUCUUUUGUGUACCA
Molecule: RNA transcript, 1617 nt
Organism: Trifolium pratense (red clover)
Lineage: Eukaryota; Viridiplantae; Streptophyta; Magnoliopsida; Fabales; Fabaceae
Gene name: DExH-box ATP-dependent RNA helicase DExH9-like
Exons: 7
Source: RefSeq, a predicted model, not a curated record